AGUGAACGCUGGCGGUAGGCCUAACACAUGCGAGUCGAACGGCAGCACAGUAAGAGCUUGCUAUUACGGGUGGCGAGUGGCGGACGGGUGAGGAAUACAUCGGAAUCUACUUUUUCGUGGGGGAUAACGUAGGGGAACUUACGCUAAUACCGCAUACGACCUACGGGUGAAAGCAGGGGAUCCUCGGACCUUGCGCGAUUGAAUGAGCCGAUGUCGGAUUAGCUAGUUGGCGGGGUAAAGGCCCACCAAGGCGACGAUCCGUAGCUGGUCUGAGAGGAUGAUCAGCCACACUGGAACUGAGACACGGUCCAGACUACUACGGGAGGCAGCAGAGGGGAAUAGUAGACAAUGGGCGCAAGCCUGAUCCAGCCAUACCGCGUGGGUGAAGAAGGCCUGCGGGUUGUAAAGCCAGUUUGUUGGGAAAGAAAAGCAGCAGGUUAAUACCCCGCUGUUCUGACGGUACCCAAAGAAUAAGCACCGGCUAACUCCGUG
This 492-nucleotide ribosomal RNA is filed under the name uncultured bacterium. Its description in RNAcentral is "partial 16S ribosomal RNA". It matches the Rfam family "Bacterial small subunit ribosomal RNA", at positions 29 to 507 of the family's 1533-position model. The record is from RNAcentral.